CUAGCUGUAAACGAUGGAUACUAGGCGUUGAGAGUAUCGACCCUCUCAGUGUCGUAGUUAACGCGUUAAGUAUCCCGCCUGGGGAGUACGCGCGCAAGCGUGAAACUCAAAGGAAUUGACGGGGGCCCGCACAAGCGGUGGAGUAUGUGGUUUAAUUCGAUGCAACGCGAAGAACCUUACCAGGGCUUGACAUGUCCGGAACCCUGCCCAAAGGCGGGGGUGCCUACGGGAACCGGAACACAGGUGGUGC
Molecule: ribosomal RNA, 250 nt
Filed under: uncultured Chroococcidiopsis sp.
Lineage: Bacteria; Bacillati; Cyanobacteriota; Cyanophyceae; Chroococcidiopsidales; Chroococcidiopsidaceae
Description: partial 16S ribosomal RNA
Rfam family: Bacterial small subunit ribosomal RNA
Source: RNAcentral